CCAUGGAGACCGGCUGCAGGUGUUGUCCAUGCAUGUUACCUCCUCCUCCACCUCCUCCUUUUCCACCACCCAGAGACCUGAUCUUCACAGCGUCGCCCUCUGUUGUUCCAGCCAUAAGGUGGAAGUGGGCGGAGCUUCUGUUCCUGAUGCUGGUUGUCUCUGCCUCCUGCAUCAUCAUGGUGACGAUCUUCAGCAUCUGCUUUAAAGUGAAGAUGAGGAAAUCACUGAGGAAAGAAGAGAACAGCACCAGCUGAGGGGCAAAGCAUCAACACCA
This is a long non-coding RNA of Sphaeramia orbicularis (orbiculate cardinalfish), 274 nucleotides long. RefSeq lists it as uncharacterized. The record is from RefSeq and is a predicted model, not a curated record. The transcript has 3 exons. NCBI's taxonomy places the organism in Eukaryota, Metazoa, Chordata, Actinopteri, Kurtiformes, Apogonidae.